Molecule: non-coding RNA, 113 nt
Organism: Acanthosepion pharaonis
Lineage: Eukaryota; Metazoa; Mollusca; Cephalopoda; Sepiida; Sepiidae
Source: the annotation of a GenBank genome assembly
UACGACCAUAUCACGUUAAAAUUCCGGUUCUCGUCCGAUCUACAAAGUUAAGCAUUUUCGAGUCUGGUCUUUAGCUAGAUGGGUGACCACUUGGGAAUAGCAAGUGCUGUAUG